UGAGGAAUAUUGGUCAAUGGGCGAAAGCCUGAACCAGCCAAGUAGCGUGAGGGAAGACUGCCCUACGGGUUGUAAACCUCUUUUGUUUGGGAAUAAAGUGCGGGACGCGUCCCGCAUUGCAUGUACCAUUUGAAUAAGGACCGGCUAAUUCCGUGCCAGCAGCCGCGGUAAUACGGAAGGUCCGGGCGUUAUCCGGAUUUAUUGGGUUUAAAGGGAGCGCAGGCCGCCGGGCAAGCGUGUUGUGAAAUGCAGUCGCUCAACGUCUGCACUGCAGCGCGAACUGCCCAGCUUGAGUGCGCGCAACGUUGGCGGAAUUCGCCGUGUAGCGGUGAAAUGCUUAGAUAUGGCGAAGAACUCCGAUUGCGAAGGCAGCUGACGGGUGCGUAACUGACGCUCAUGCUCGAAAGUGCGGGUAUCGAACA
Molecule: ribosomal RNA, 422 nt
Filed under: uncultured Prevotella sp.
Lineage: Bacteria; Pseudomonadati; Bacteroidota; Bacteroidia; Bacteroidales; Prevotellaceae
Description: bacterial SSU rRNA
Rfam family: Bacterial small subunit ribosomal RNA
Source: RNAcentral